ACCAGAACUGCCACCCUCGGGCAUUGUGGGGCAAUGAAGGUGGGUGGAGGGAAUGAGGCACCACAACAGUAUUUCCCUCUAGCAGCUCCUGGGACUGGGUUUUCUGGCAUUUCUAUCUCCCCCAAAUAUCUGUAACAGGCGGUGUUCAUAUCUCUAAAUCAGAGUUCUGGCUGCUGAGGUAGCAGGACUGAGACCGGGGCUGGACCCUGACUGAGACCCAGGAGCCAGCAGCCUCUAGCCACUCCAGUCACAGGCACAGCCCAGGGACCCACCGCCACGCCCUCCUGCAAGAUAAAGGAAGCAGCAACUCAGACAUCAGGGUGGACACACCCACCAAAACACAAGGAGAGGCCCUGAAAAGUAACUGGAAAGUCACAGACCGUUCUGGCAAGUGGAGUUGAUGAGAAACAGGCCCCAGAGACUCGGAUUGGAGCGAGAGAGUUCCAUGGGCUCAGCUGGGAAAUGAGGCACAAGGAGCCAGCCCCAGAACAGAGACCCCUCCAAAGCCAACAGCUCCAGAACCGCCUCUUGCCACAACAUUCAAUGCCCUGGCUUUGAUGUUUUGUGUCUCUUGCUGACUCACAAACUUGGGAGGUAACUGGCUUUCCCUAUCAAAAAUUACUAACCCUUGAGGGGCAAUUUCGCGAUAGCUGUCAACAUUUUCAAUGUUCAUAAUCUGGACACCAUUGAUUCUGCCUACUUUCAGGGGUUUUUCCUCAGAUAUGCCCAGACAUACACAGGAUUUCUGGAUCAUUGAUUAGGGAAAAAAUGAUGCCAUCUAAUUGUCUUUCAUCAAGAACCCACUAUUUGGCUGGGUGCAGUGGCUCACACCUGUAAUCCCAGCACUUUAAGAGGCUGAG
Long non-coding RNA from Homo sapiens (human), 860 nucleotides. RefSeq lists it as uncharacterized. The transcript has 3 exons. The record is from RefSeq and is a predicted model, not a curated record. Lineage: Eukaryota; Metazoa; Chordata; Mammalia; Primates; Hominidae.